GGUUCCUUAGUGUAGCGGUUAGUACGUCGGCUUUACAUGCAGAAGGUCAGGUCCUGGGUUCGUGCCCCAGUGGAGCCA
This 78-nucleotide transfer RNA is filed under the name Pteropus alecto (black flying fox). It matches the Rfam family "tRNA". From Rfam's summary of the family: Transfer RNA (tRNA) molecules are approximately 80 nucleotides in length. Their secondary structure includes four short double-helical elements and three loops (D, anti-codon, and T loops). Further hydrogen bonds mediate the characteristic L-shaped molecular structure. tRNAs have two regions of fundamental functional importance: the anti-codon, which is responsible for specific mRNA codon recognition, and the 3' end, to which the tRNAs corresponding amino acid is attached (by aminoacyl-tRNA synthetases). tRNAs cope with the degeneracy of the genetic code in two manners: having more than one tRNA (with a specific anti-codon) for a particular amino acid; and 'wobble' base-pairing, i.e. permitting non-standard base-pairing at the 3rd anti-codon position. Lineage: Eukaryota; Metazoa; Chordata; Mammalia; Chiroptera; Pteropodidae. The record is from Rfam by way of RNAcentral.